GGCGAACGCUGGCGGCGUGCCUAAUACAUGCAAGUUGAGCGCUGAAGGUUGGUACUUGUACCGACUGGAUGAGCAGCGAACGGGUGAGUAACGCGUGGGGAAUCUGCCUUUGAGCGGGGGACAACAUUUGGAAACGAAUGCUAAUACCGCAUAAAAACUUUAAACACAAGUUUUAAGUUUGAAAGAUGCAAUUGCAUCACUCAAAGAUGAUCCCGCGUUGUAUUAGCUAGUUGGUGAGGUAAAGGCUCACCAAGGCGAUGAUACAUAGCCGACCUGAGAGGGUGAUCGGCCACAUUGGGACUGAGACACGGCCCAAACUCCUACGGGAGGCAGCAGUAGGGAAUCUUCGGCAAUGGACGAAAGUCUGACCGAGCAACGCCGCGUGAGUGAAGAAGGGUUUCGGAUCGUAAAACUCUGUUGGUAGAGAAGAACGUUGGUGAGAGUGGAAAGCUCAUCAAGUGACGGUAACUACCCAGAAAGGGACGGCUAACUACGUG
Molecule: ribosomal RNA, 497 nt
Filed under: uncultured bacterium
Lineage: Bacteria
Description: partial 16S ribosomal RNA
Rfam family: Bacterial small subunit ribosomal RNA
Source: RNAcentral